AAACMUGUCUUUUUGCUUAUAAUAUAAAGUCUGACCUGCCCUAUGAAUAAGUUAAUUUUAAAUGGCUGCGGUACUCUGACCGUGCAAAGGUAGCAUAAUAAUUAGUUUUUUAAUUGGGAACUGGUAUGAAAGGUCGAACGAGAAAAAGACUGUCUCAAUUUAAUUUAAAUUAGAAUUUUAUCUUUAAGUAAAAAAGCUUAAAUAUUUUUAAAAGACGAGAAGACCCUAUAGAGUUUUAUAUAAUUUAGUAUUUUUGAAAGUUAAAGAAUUUUAGAUUCGAUUAUAUUAAAUUAUAUUUGGUUGGGGCAAUUAAAAAAUUAAAGUAAUUUUUUUUAAAUUAUACCAUUGAUAUAUGAUUAAGUGAUCCAUAGUUAAUGAUUAAAAGAUUAAAUUACCUUAGGGAUAACAGCGUAANUUUUUUUUAGAGUUCUUAUCGAAAAAAGAGUUUGCGACCUCGAUGUUGGAUUAAAAUUUACUUUUGGCGCAGCAACUAAAAGGAUUAGGUCUGUUCGACCUUUAAAAUUUUACAUGA
RNAcentral lists this ribosomal RNA (532 nucleotides) under Coprophanaeus ensifer. RNAcentral describes it as "partial large subunit ribosomal RNA". It matches the Rfam family "Bacterial large subunit ribosomal RNA", at positions 1811 to 2603 of the family's 2925-position model. The record is from RNAcentral. Lineage: Eukaryota; Metazoa; Arthropoda; Insecta; Coleoptera; Scarabaeidae.